This 253-nucleotide ribosomal RNA is filed under the name uncultured bacterium. Its description in RNAcentral is "partial 16S ribosomal RNA". It matches the Rfam family "Bacterial small subunit ribosomal RNA", at positions 524 to 776 of the family's 1533-position model. The record is from RNAcentral.
UACGUAGGGUGCAAGCGUUAAUCGGAAUUACUGGGCGUAAAGCGUGCGCAGGCGGUUUUGUAAGUCUGAUGUGAAAUCCCCGGGCUCAACCUGGGAAUUGCAUUGGAGACUGCAAGGCUAGAAUCUGGCAGAGGGGGGUAGAAUUCCACGUGUAGCAGUGAAAUGCGUAGAGAUGUGGAGGAAUACCGAUGGCGAAGGCAGCCCCCUGGGAUAACACUGACGCUCAUGCACGAAAGCGUGGGGAGCAAACAGG